RNAcentral lists this ribosomal RNA (658 nucleotides) under bacterium 90-L049642-122-014-B12. RNAcentral's name for it is "bacterial SSU rRNA". It matches the Rfam family "Bacterial small subunit ribosomal RNA", at positions 57 to 713 of the family's 1533-position model. The record is from RNAcentral.
GCAGUCGAACGGCAGCGCGGGGCAACCUGGCGGCGAGUGGCGAACGGGUGAGUAAUAUAUCGGAACGUACCCAAGAGUGGGGGAUAACGUAGCGAAAGUUACGCUAAUACCGCAUACGAUCUAAGGAUGAAAGUGGGGGAUCGCAAGACCUCAUGCUCCUGGAGCGGCCGAUAUCUGAUUAGCUAGUUGGUGAGGUAAAGGCUCACCAAGGCGACGAUCAGUAGCUGGUCUGAGAGGACGACCAGCCACACUGGAACUGAGACACGGUCCAGACUCCUACGGGAGGCAGCAGUGGGGAAUUUUGGACAAUGGGCGCAAGCCUGAUCCAGCAAUGCCGCGUGAGUGAAGAAGGCCUUCGGGUUGUAAAGCUCUUUUGUCAGGGAAGAAACGGUAGAAGCUAAUAUCUCUUGCUAAUGACGGUACCUGAAGAAUAAGCACCGGCUAACUACGUGCCAGCAGCCGCGGUAAUACGUAGGGUGCAAGCGUUAAUCGGAAUUACUGGGCGUAAAGCGUGCGCAGGCGGUUUUGUAAGUCUGUCGUGAAAGCCCCGGGCUCAACCUGGGAAUUGCGAUGGAGACUGCAAGGCUUGAAUCUGGCAGAGGGGGGUAGAAUUCCACGUGUAGCAGUGAAAUGCGUAGAGAUGUGGAGGAACACCGAU